GGGUGAGUAACACGUAGGGGACCUGCCCGUGCACCGGGAAUACGCUCUGGAAACGGAGAACAAAUCCCGAUGUACAGGAAGGAGGCAUCUUCUUUCUGUGAAACAUCCUUCAGGGGAUGGGGCGCGGAUGGACCUGCGGUGCAUUAGUUGGUUGGCGGGGUAAAGGCCCACCAAGACGAUGAUGCAUAGCCGGCCUGAGAGGGCGGACGGCCACAUUGGGACUGAGACACGGCCCAGACUCCUGCGGGAGGCAGCAGUAGGGAAUUUUCGUCAAUGGGCGCAAGCCUGAACGAGCGAUGCCGCGUGAGUGAAGAAGGCCUUCGGGUCGUAGAGCUCUGUUGCGGGGGAAAAAAGGCAGCAUCAGGAAAUGGGUGCUGACUGAUGGUGCCCCGCCAGAAAGUCACGGCUAACUACGUGCCAGCAGCCGCGGUAAUACGUAGGUGGCGAGCGUUAUCCGGAAUGAUUGGGCGUAAAGGGUGCGCAGGCGGUCCUGCAAGUCUGGAGUGAAACGCAUGAGCUCAACUCAUGCAUGGCUUUGGAAACUGGAGGACUGGAGAGCAGGAGAGGGCGGUGGAACUCCAUGUGUAGCGGUAAAAUGCGUAGAUAUAUGGAAGAACACCAGUGGCGAAGGCGGCCGCCUGGCCUGUUGCUGACGCUGAGGCACGAAAGCGUGGGGAGCAAAUAGGAUUAGAUACCCUAGUAGUCCACGCCGUAAACGAUG
RNAcentral lists this ribosomal RNA (721 nucleotides) under uncultured bacterium. Its description in RNAcentral is "bacterial SSU rRNA". It matches the Rfam family "Bacterial small subunit ribosomal RNA", at positions 104 to 811 of the family's 1533-position model. The record is from RNAcentral.